Long non-coding RNA from Mesocricetus auratus (golden hamster), 9028 nucleotides. RefSeq lists it as uncharacterized. The record is from RefSeq and is a predicted model, not a curated record. Lineage: Eukaryota; Metazoa; Chordata; Mammalia; Rodentia; Cricetidae. The transcript has 4 exons.
GAAGGGAGAAGGAGAGAGGGGAGAAUGCAGGAAGAGAGGAAUAGGGAGAGAGGGAGGUUGCAUGGAAUCUGUGUAAUGCAUUGGCAGGCAUUUUAGCUCUUAAACAUGAAGAAUUGGGAAUUUGAUAGAUUUGAAAAUUCUAAGUAUCUCCAGAUGUAAGCAACACUGAAAGCAAGAAAUGCAUCUAAGGAAGUUCAAACCCAGGGUGCUGAGUCCCACCCUGCCCUGUGCCUUCUGGGAGAAAACAGUUUAGGGUAUGAUAGCCAGAUAACUUAUUAAGACUUCAGGCAGACAUCCAAGGAGAGUCCUGCCAAUCAGUCUUCUCCCCUCUGAAGUCUCAAGAGUGUGACUCACAAAUCAAACAAUAAGGCAUCCGGAAGGCUAAGUGUGGCUGUACCUGCUUGUACUCCUAGCUUUCCAGACACUGAGACGUGAAGACCAGGAGCUGGAGGCCGGCAUGAUGAGCUACAGUGAGACCCUGUCUAGAAAAACUAAAUGAACAGAUAUUUUUAAAUGACAAGGCUUCUUAGAGGCUCUUGUUGUCUCUCACUAGAAGCUCACGAUAGGAGUUUAUCUCCAUGAGACUUCUCUGCAGAAAAGAAAACCCCAAGGACUCACAAGACAUCCAGGAAACUUCAAAGAACUUCAGCCGUAAGAGCAGUGCUCCAUCGUAGCAGGAUAGAUGAGGGAAGAAAUGAAAAGGAAUGGUUUUGCUCUCUGACUUUUUACAGAAAGCUGAACAAGAAAACUGCCAAUCGGCGCCGGUGUGGCCUCUCACAGAAAUGGAAUGGUGACUCACGGUGCUUACAGGGUGCAGCCCUGCUUCUUGAGAGGAGUAAGACUGGGUCUUAAGGGGCCUACUUUUGUCAUCUAGGCUGUAUCAUCACUGGUCAGUGAUUUCUGUCUCCCAUUCACCUCUUUUGAGCAGUAGUGACUGCAGGUGCUUUUCCAUGCCGCUCUCAGGGUUGUUUGUUGCCUGUGUCAGGAACAGGAGAACUUGUCUCCGCAGUUCUUCAGUCUAAGAUGGAGAAGGAAUGCAUUGAAGCUGUCAUAUUUAGGUACCACAGGAGCAUCGUCUACAACUGGCUCUGACUUAGGUGAUGAGAUUCUGGACUUGAAGCUGGUGAUGAAGUAGGGCAAGACUUUAGGGAUGACAGGAUGGAGUAAGUGCAGCAUACAUGCAGGAGCCACGUAGAUAAGCAGAAACAAGGGCAGACUAUAAUAGCCAGCUUCUUAUGUUAAUAUCCAUCUUCCAGCAUUAGCAUCUUUGCAUAGUUACAGUGUACAAAUACGUCAGAAGGAGACAUCUUGAACUCAUCAAUGGAAUAUGAAAAAGCCUUCCAUAAGCAACGGCAGAGGCUAUGCAGGAAGCAGAAGGACAUCCAUAUCCGUUUCUUCAGAGCGCUACAGAGGUCAUAUCUGAAGAGUUAAUGGCUGAAAUGUUUCUGGAACUGAUGGAAGAUAGCAGUCUACAGACCCCUCCCAAAGCCUGAACAAUAAUCUUAAACAAAUAAAAACCAAUAUAUCAUAUCCCUAGGCAUUUCAUAAUACAAAAGCCACUGAAAAAGAAAAAUAAUCUUUGGAAUCAGCCAAGGGGGAAGACAAGUGACCUGCGAAGGCAUGGCAGAUGUGGGUGGCUCUCCAGAAAUACCAGAGUGGGAGAAUCUCUGAAUUACUCCUGUAAGGUGUGCAGUGAAACACAAAUGUCCCUGGAAUUGCAUCUCCUGUGAAAUGAUUGUUUGGAAUCAUAAAACAAAAUCAUCCAAGCAAAACUUUGAAAAAGGACAAAUGGACUCAGUUGGUUUUUUUUUAAAUAGUUUUAUAUGUAAUAGGAAAUACUGGAAAUAAUGCAAAGUCUGUCAACUGUAAAAGGAGCCACAGCACAUUGCAUCAUGGAGGGUUAUGCAGCAAUAAGGACUGGGGAAUGCCUGUGCAUUGUUCUGUAGGAGUUCUGAGGCAUGUUAACUCUAAACGGCACAUAGGCUAUGCUCACUUUCAUCUGAAGUCAUGAGCGGGAUCAAACCUUAAUGUUUUAAGAAAAAAUCUAGAUAUGAAAAUAGUGAGAAGGAAGGGUGUAUAGAUGUCAGAUUAUCUGAAUAGAUUUGUGCAAUUGCCUUUGGAACAUAAUUACAAAACUGAAUACGUUUAAACAUUUAUUUAAUUUAAUGUAUAUGUGUGUGUGCCUAGGUGUAUGUAUGUGCACAAUAUACAUUCAAAGACUGGAGUCUGUAAGGGCAUUGGAUCCCCAAAACUGGAGUUACAGAUGGUUGCGAGCUACCCGGCGGGUAGUGGGAAUGAAACCUGGGUUCUCUGCAAGAGCUGUACAUCCUUCUAGCUGCUAAGACAUCUCUCUAGUCUCCAAAACUAAAUUAAAAUUUAGAAUGAAUCCUUAGAAUUAAAAGUGAAAUAAACACACCCAACUUUAUAUCAAGUUGGUACUAUAUAAGCACAGUGAGGUUUUAUUUCACGUGCAUACCUCACAAGAAGGAAUUAUUUCAUGUGCAUACCUCACAGUGAGGAAUUAUUUCAUGCGAAUACGUCACAGUAAGGAAUUAUUUCAGGUGCAUACCACACGGUGAGGAUUUAUUUCACAAUAAUACCUCAUAGUGAGGAUUUAUUUCAUGCCUAUACCUCACAGAUAAGAAUUAUUUCACAUACAUACCUCACAGUGAGGAAUUAAUUCAUGCGCAUGCUUCACAGUGAGGAAUUAUUUCACAUGCACCCUGCACAGUGAUGAAUUAUUUCACAUGCAUACCUCACAGUGAGGAUUUAUUUCAUGUGCAUACCUCACAGUGAUGAAUUAUUUCAUAUGCAUACCUUACAGUGAGGAUUUAUUUCACAUGCAUACCUCACAGUGAAGAAUUUUUUAAUGCCUAUACCUCACAAUGAGGAACUAUUUCACGUACAUACGUAACAGUCAGAAAUUAUUUCAUGCACAUAUCUCACAGUGAGGAUUUAUUUCACAUGCACCUUUCACAGUUAUGAAUUAUUUCACAUGCAUACCACACGGUGAGGAUUUAUUUCACAUGUGUAUCUCACAGUGAGGAUUUAUUUCACAUGCAUACUUCACAGUGAAGAAUUAUUUCAUGCCUAUACCUCACAGUGAAGAUUUAUUUAAUGCCUAUAUGCCACAAUGAGGAAUUAUUUAAUGUGCAUACCUCACAGUGAGGAAUUAUUUCACGUGCAUACCUCACAGUGAAGAAUUAUUUCACACGCAUUCCACACAGUCAGGAAUUAUUUCAUGCACAUACGUCAUAUUAAGGAAUUAUUUCAUGUGCAUACGUCACAAUGAGGAAUCAUUUCAUGUGCAUAUCUCACACUGAGGAAUUAUUGCAUGAGCACACUGCACAGUGAGGAAUUAUUUCAUGCCUAUACCCCACAGUGAUGAAUUAUUUCACAUGCAUACCUCACAGUGGGGAUUUAUUUCAUGUGCAUAUGUCACAGUGAGGAAUUAUUUAAUGUGAAUAUCUGACAAUGAUGAAUUAUUCAAUGUGCAUACCUCACGGUGAGGAAUUAUUUCACAUUCAUAUCUCACAGUGAGGAUUCAUUUCCUAUGAAACCUCACAGUAAGGAAUUAUUUCAUGUGCAUACCUCACAGUGAAGAUUUAUUUCAUUUGCAUACCUCACAGUUAGGAAUAAUUUCAUGCCUCUACCUCACAGUGAGGAAUUAUUACAUGUGCAUACAUCACAAUGAGUAAUUAUUUCAUGUGCGUAUCUCACAAUGAGCAAUUAUUUAACGUGCAUCCGUCACAGUGAGGAAUUAUUUCAUGUGCAUACAUCACAAUGAGGAUUUAUUUCACAUGCAUACCACACACUGAGGAAUUAUUUCAAGUGCAUACCUAACAGUUAGGAAUUAUUUCACAUGCACCCUGCACAGUGAUGGAUUCUUUCACAUGCAUACCUCACAGUGAGGAUUUAUUUGUUGUGUAUAUCUCACAGUGAGGAUUUAUUUCACAUGCAAACCUCACAAUGAGGAAUUAUAUCAUGCCUGUACUUCACAGUGAAGCAUUAUUUCACAUGCAUAACUCACAGUGAGAAAUUAUUUCACGUGCAUACCUCACGUUGAUGAAUUAUUUCACAUGCAUACCUCACAGUGAGGAUUUAUUUCAUGCGCAUAUGCCAUAGUCAGGAAUUAUUUCAAGUGCAUGUUUCACAAUGAUGUGUUGUUUAACGUGCAUAUCUCUCACAGUGAGGAAUUAUUUCAAGUGCAUACCUCACAGUUAGGAAUUAUUUCACAUGCACCCUGCACAGUGAUGGAUUCUUUCACAUGCAUACCUCACAAUGAGGAAUUAUUUCUUGUGCAUAUCUCACAGUUAGGAAUUAUUUCAUGCCUGUACCUCACAGUGAAGAAUUAUUUCAUGGGCAUACCUCACAUUGAGGAUUUAUUUCAUGUGUGUACCUCACAGUGGGGAAUUAUUUCAUGUGCAUACAUCACAAUGAGGAAUUAUUUCAUGCCCUUAAGUCACAGUGAGGAAUUAUUUUACUUGCACCCUGCACAGGGAUGAAUUAUUUCACAUCCAUACCUCACAAUGAGGAAUUAUUUCUUGUGCAUAUGCCACAGUGAGGAUUUAUUUCACAUGAAUACCUCACAAUGAGGAAUUAUUUCUCAUGCAUAUCUCACAGUGAGGAUUUUUUCAAAUGCAUACCUCACUGUGAGGAAUUAUUUCAUGCCUCUACCUCACAGUGAAUAGCUAUUUCACGUGCAUUCCUCACAGUGAGGAAUUAUUUCACAUGCAUACCCACAGUGAAGAUUUAUUUCAUUUGCAUACCUCACAGUUAGGAAUAAUUUCAUGCCUCUACCUCACAGUGAGGAAUUAUUACAUGUGCAUACAUCACAAUGAGUAAUUAUUUCAUGUGCGUAUCUCACAAUGAGCAAUUAUUUAACGUGCAUCCGUCACAGUGAGGAAUUAUUUCAUGUGCGGAGGAAUUAUUUCAUGUGCGUACCUCACAGUGAGGAAUUAUUUCACAUGCAUACUUCACAGUAGCUUUUUUCCACACUCUAGGAGGGUUGCAGAGGAAUAAAGGGCACCCAAAGCAACGGCAUCAGAAAUAGGACCACACCAGGACUGUUUCUAGUAAUCAAGUUGUCAGUGCUGGAGCCUGGGAGAAUUGUAGUAUCCUGUGUCCUGAGAGAGUUGCAUAUAUUGUGUUCAGGCGUGGGUCAGGGUGAGCUCAGAUGAGGCAGGGAAUGCUCGGGGACCUGUUCUUCAGGGAAGCAGUGCCUUAUCACAGCCUGUGCCAUACUCCUUGGUGUGGGAGAGUGACUGACAGGAUUCAGUAAAUUUGAAUCUGAAGUAACAGCAUGGAAGUGUAGUGCUUGUCUUCUCGUGAUGAGUAUAUUUGUAGAAAUAAGAAUACAUUUCCUAGCUCUGAGCACUGAGAAGCCCAAGGACAAUGACUAACUCGGCGGUAAGAAACAACCCCAGCUCCCACACUGUGGUCUUUAAAUACUAUUUACCACUACCAGUUUCCAUGGGAAUUUGUAGAAGUGUGUGGGUGAGACUGGGACAGCGUCUCUCUCCAGAGAGCUAUGAAGUACCAGGAGAGUCAGUCAGAAGGACUCAAGGGCAGCUUGCGUAAGCCCCUCUGGUCAUGCUGAAACACAUCAGAUAAGCUCAGUUCCACAAACUCAUAAGGACACUAGGAAGCCACCUCUGGAAGGCACCAAGCAAUGAACCCGAAAAUGCAAAAAGGGAAACAAUCAGUUCUGCCUCUGUGUAAACCAUGCUUCAGGGCCAGCAAACGAUUUGGUGAGGAAAAGUUUCCCUUCAUAGAAGAUUUGUGCCCCUGUUUUUAUUGAGACAGUCUUGCUAUGUAGACAGGGUUGAACUUGUGAUCCAGCUAUAUCAGCCUCUUGAGGGUUGGGAUCACAACAGUGUGCUUUCUGAUAAUGCCCAGCUCUUCACAAAAGUUUUCCAGUUCUAUGUCAGAAUCAGAACAUGACCAUUCCCAACCGCUAAUGAAUUCAUGGGUCUUGUCAAUGGCCUUCAGUCCAGGUUUGUAUCACCCAGAGAACAGGAGGAAGACCAAAUGUGCUUCCUGAUGGAAAACCCAUUUCUUUUGCAAUAGUCUUGUCAAAGAAUCAGACCUGAAUUUGAUCUAUAAAUCCAUCAGCAGGUUUAUAGAAAACAGAUACCACAAGUGGGGGAUACAGAUAGCAAAACCCUGACUGGUGCUUUAAUAAUGAUAGCAACAAAUGCAAAGGGGGAAAUUAGAAAAGAAAAUUUAUAGAAACUUAAGCAAUAGAUUAGCUAGCAGCAAUAUAGAGAACGUGUUCGUGUCCCAAUUCAAUCAAGUAAGUCCUAAGAAAAGCGAUGACAGUUGGGGAAACGUGGACGCUGGCGAGAUGCGUGACGAUAUAAUGAGUCAUUGCUGUUGUUCCUUUUUUCCUGGUAUAUGCCUCAGUCUUGUUUAAAGACAGAGUCCUUAUCUUUAAAGAGAUAGUACUAUUGGCAGGUGAAAUGGAAUGACAGCUUGGCAUUUGCUGAGCAGUUCGUCAUGAGGGGAGGAGCCAUCGGAUGCAGAGAACAGUGAUGGCUCUGGGUUCAGGUAUUUGCUGGAACUUGUAGUAUAGGCGGGUGUUCUUUUAGUUUGUUUUCUUAGGUUUAUGUGGACAUUUGUCAUAAUAGAAAGCCAGAAUGGAAAGAAUCAAAUAAAAGUUUUCAGACAAUCUCUUAUACUCAAGGAUAUUCUACGGAAACCUUAAUUCAAAGGGGCAUUGUCCUAGGUAGACGAUCAGAAAAUAUAAAAGGAGUGGUGAUCUGGGCAUGGUUGCACAUGCCUGGAAUUCUAGCACCUUAGAGGUGGAGGCAGAAAGAUCACAUCCUCAACUAUGUAGUGUGUUUGCAUUCAGCUUUGGCUACAGGAGACUCUUGUUUUAAAAAACUAAAACCAAGCAAAGAAAAGGAAAUGAAGAAAAUGCAAAUCCAAAUGAACACUGAUUAUGUAAAAAAGUCAUUAUAAACUACCUAUGAACUCUAAGAAUUACAGCACAAACAAGCAAAUUCCCUGUAACCAGGGAACUGACAAAGGGGAAGUUUAAAUGGCUCAGGUCCUUGUGUGGCCUGACCUAGAAUUAGGUAUUAAGUUGCACUGGGAUCCGGCAAGUUUUGGGUUCAUAACACAGCUUCCCGGGGAACAAUUUCAAGAAUACUCAAAGUACAUAUGAGUCCAGUGCUAACUAUGGGGAGAAAAACUGGAAGAUGUGACUAGAGAGAUGAUCAGCUCUUCAGAGGACUCUCAGUUCAGCUCCCAGCACCCACACGGCAGUUCACAAUGGUCUGUUACUCUGGCUCCCAGGAAUCCGAUGCCCUUUUCUGGUCUCUGUGGAUACCAGACACAAAUAUGGCACUCACAUAUGUAUGCAUGCAAGCGUGCAUACAUAUACAAAAAACAGGAAUUGGGAGGAAUGGAAGGACACACCUCUCCCUGCAACCAAAGGCAAAAAAUAAAAAUAAUAUCAAACUGUAUGCUAUUUACAAGGCAUGAAUCUAAAAUGCAAAGUUACUUUGAAAGAAUGAAAAGCUUGGUGCAUGCAAAUACUAAAUAAUAAACUAAUAGGGCAGUGAUAUUAAUAUUAAAUGAAGCAAAUUCAAGACAAAAACAUAGACAGAAACAGAGGGUUAUGAAAAAUACUAAACGUUAAUAAUGUUUAGUGACAUUUAUGUAUGUGGGGGAUGCUGUGGAUGAGAGUGUACUGGAUGACAUGUGUGGAACAACUUGUGGAAGGUGGUCCUCUCCUACAGUGUGGGUCCCAGGAAUCAAACUCAUGGAAGACCAAACAGUAGGCGCUCUUAACCCACUGAACCACCUCACCAGCCCUCAAAGUGCACUAAACGUUUUGAUUACUGUGAGAGUCUGUGUAUUUCUUCCCCCUGGGUGGGGUUGGGGGGAUACAGGGUGGUUGGGACAGCCAGGUGGACCUGGUGGCUGCCAGUCUGGUUGAUUUGUUUGCUAGAUAGCAGUUAUCUGGGUUUUCUGGAUAUAGGAUAAGCUACUUCUGGCCUUCCUCAUGUCACAUUUCAUCAUAAGGAGGUUUGUUGUUGUUUCAGUGAGUUAAAGGUGAGGGUGUUGUGUUCUGGACAAUCAUGUUAGCUCUGUGUUCACAAAUUACCUAGCAACAGGUAAGUCACUUUACAUGUGUUAACUCACUCAGCCCUCCUAGGGACCCCGUGAGGUGGAUUCUAUUUUCUGUCCUCAUUUUAAGAACUGAAAAUCAGGCAAAAGCCAGUGGAGGAACUAGUUCACAGCCCAAGAACCAGAGAGGGAAUGGGCAAGAUUGGAGCCCAGCCCUGCUGCUGUGCCGACCAUUUAUAUCUCUGAACGAAUCUCUCCUAUCAGCACAUCGGAAAAGACACACUGAAGAGCAGUCAGCUGGAAGACCAAAGGGGUUAGAAAAAGAGAUAUCCUGUUCUGCUUUCCUGUCUCACCACUGUGAAGCUGUCCUCCAUGGGGUCCUCACCAGAAUGGAGCAGAGACCAACAUCCUGCUUCCAGAUCUCCAGGACUGUAAACUAGGUGCUGAACAAUGGAUAUAAAGGCUCGACUUCAAGCUGGUUAAGGACUGUUUUCACAUCACCACUUGUCUGGAGGUUUCUUUUUCUUGACAUAAAUGAUUUUGAAUGGUCAGUCUACAAUACACAUACUACAUUUUUUCACUGACAAUUCUACUGUUGGUCUAGGCCCCACCAUGGUGUCUAGGACUGCACAUAUAUAGUAUAAUAAUAAUAUAACAAGCACAUGUUAUAUAACUUUAUAUGAAUGAGUGUUUUGUCUACGUGUAUAUCUGUGUACCAUCUACAUGCCUGGUACCCUUGGAUUUCUCCAGGACCGGAGUUAUAGCUUGUUGUAAGUCACUGUGUGUGUCCUGGAAACUAAACCUAGGUCCUCUGGAAGAGCAGCCAAUACUCUUAGCUGCUGAGCCAACUCUUCAGAGCAUCACACAUAUAUAAGUUAGCUGUCUGUUCUUAUUGUAUCCUCAUUAUUACAGGAUAUUGUCAACUAUUAAAAGCACUCCCCAUAGAGAUAAA